UACAGGCUUACACUCUCCCAAGUGCCAAACAUAGUGUAAAGGGCGGGCAAAAACAGAAAAAGUGUAUUUCAACAGUAUCAUCUCUUCAUUCCUCUCUUUUCCACUUCAAUAGAUCUCUCUGCUUCCAACUUUGAACAUAAUCGUCAUUUUCUCAACUCCGCAAAACCCUUUGCCCUUCCCUCAAUGUCCACCGAAGAACCCCAAUUGCAAAAUGGAGCCGAAAUUGAACCUGAACGCACCCCAGAACCAAAUCCCGCACGUGAACCUGCAACUACAUCAGAACCUGAACCUAAUCUUGCUUCUCAACCAGAACCUAAUCUUGCUUCUCAACCAGAACCUGACUCAACAGCGUUGGCAAUAACGGAUGUAUAUCCCAAUGCCCAGGAACCGACAGAUGCUUCGAUCCAAUCAAACGAAGCGGACAAACCUCAAUCCAAUGACCAAAAUGCACGUCCCGAGCUGCGAAAGGACGAAGGAAGCAGAACGUUCACGAUGAGAGAAUUGCUUAGCGAAUCGAGAAGCGCAGAAGGAGACGAUGCCAGCAGUUCUCAAAGUCAACAAAGCACACCAUACCACCAAGCAGAGCAAAAUAGUGCAGCAAUGGAA
This 606-nucleotide unclassified non-coding RNA is filed under the name Hevea brasiliensis (rubber tree). The record is from RNAcentral. Lineage: Eukaryota; Viridiplantae; Streptophyta; Magnoliopsida; Malpighiales; Euphorbiaceae.